GUGGUUAUAUAAGGGGAGAUAAUUGUGCCAUCCCUUAUCACAUCUCAUUUCAGCCAAACUAUGAUAACGGUGCACUUCUUACAGUGGUUUGGUCGACUGGCAAUGUGGCCUACAUUCCUCUUUACUUUGUCGCCAGUGAUGUCGUGGAAUAUCACAGGUUUCAACAGAAUGCACCAAUGUUGAACGGACAAAUACUUUCUCCAAUUCAGUCUGUCUCUUGACACCACUUUGACAAUGACAUUUAGCCUGAGGACUGUAAUUGUGUUCUAAAAGACCGUGGAUGUGAUUGACUUGGAUAUUCUUCCUGUCUUAAUUGUUCAGUUUUGUUAAUACGGUGAUGGAGAAUUCUAAGAAACAAGUGAGAUAGAUUUCCUGUCAAAUUGUUAAGAUGCAGUUUAUAUAUUGAUAGGUAUUCAUGUUUGGAUGACUUUUGCUGACUUUGGUGCAAUGAUUAUUUUUAACCUUCCAGUUAUUAAAGUACUUGCAGGCUAUUUUUUCUUGUCCUGUCUGCCUGUUGAAAUAUUCAUCACAUUUUGCUCAACUGUCUUAAGAUCUGUUCCACUGCCAAUAACUGUUUCUGGUUGUUAUGCUUUGUAUAUGAAGGUUUUGAAGAUAUUUGAAUAAAUGAAAAUAAUUGCUAAAUAUAUGCAUACUGAAAUUUUGUGAAAUUUGCUAAAAAAAUCCAAAUUUGGAUCGCAGAGUUAGUACAUAUGUAAUAGCUUGACAUCUACAUAUAAUUACUAUAUAACAUGAUGUUAUGAUGAUCACUUAAUGGAUUAUAUUUGUACAGAAUUAACAUGUUUAACAGUGUACUUAUAGGAUUUAAUGCAGACUUGAACGAUGUCAUGUGUGAAUUAAAUGUGUUAAUGAAUGUGUUAUACUGAAUAAUGACCGGAAAGUGCUGUUUGAUCAUGUGAUUUUAUACUUUUAUGAAAGUGUACAUAAAGAUUUUGACAUGUUGUUUCAUAAACCUGCUAUUUAGAAAUACAUGUGUAUAUGCCUGUAUGAAUUAGAUAUUGAGGAGUAGAAUAACUUCUUUAUCAGUUAUUGAACAACUGAACACAGUGUUAACAAAUGUAAUAUAUUCUUUCAUGGAUUGGAUUGUCAUAUAUAUUUUCCAACAUGUUAUAAUCGCGAUCAUGAUAGUGGUAUGAUAGAAUGUAAAGAGAUACUGUGAAUGUGAUAUGUCAUUGUUUAUGAAAGAUGUAAUGCAUUUUCAGAAAGUUUAAAUAAAAGAAUCAUGGACAAGUGA
Long non-coding RNA from Ylistrum balloti, 1252 nucleotides. RefSeq lists it as uncharacterized. NCBI's taxonomy places the organism in Eukaryota, Metazoa, Mollusca, Bivalvia, Pectinida, Pectinidae. The record is from RefSeq and is a predicted model, not a curated record. The transcript has 2 exons.